AAAAAAAACAACAACCCACCAGCAUGCAAUAAAAGGGCUAGAGCUAGCUAGGCCUCUUCAUCCCACCCUUAUCUUCACCUCAUCCUCUCUUACCAUGGGGACUCUAGAAGUACAAAGCACCACCACCACCGCCAAUGGCAACAGUAACAGUAACGACACCACCAACGGUGCUACACUCUCUGACCCAGAAGAACCCAUCAUCGAUGUAGAAAACGACGAGGUUUCCCCCAUUGAGGAGGUCCGACUAACCGUUACCAACACCGAUGAUCCAACCCUUCCGGUAUGGACCUUUAGGAUGUGGUUCUUGGGUUUGUUAUCAUGCGGGCUUCUCUCUUUCCUCAACCAAUUCUUCUCUUACAGAACAGAGCCUCUUGUGAUCACCCAAAUCACUGUCCAAGUAGCCACACUUCCGGUCGGACAUUUCUUAGCAGCUGUGCUUCCCAAGAGCAAGUUCCGCAUCCCUGGUUUGGGGUCGAAAACGUUUUCUUUGAACCCAGGUCCGUUUAACAUGAAAGAGCACGUACUCAUCUCCAUCUUUGCAAAUGCUGGAAGUGCAUUUGGAGCUGGAUCUGCUUAUGCUGUUGGUAUUAUUACUAUUAUCAAAGCAUUCUACAAGAGGAAAAUUUCAUUCUUGGCAAGUUGGAUUCUCAUAGUCACUACCCAGGUAUUAGGAUAUGGGUGGGCAGGGCUGCUGAGGAAAUAUGUAGUGGAGCCAGCUCAAAUGUGGUGGCCUAACACUCUGGUUCAGGUCUCUCUCUUCAGACAUUUCCAGCAUUUGAUCAGCACCUGGGAAAAAAAAAUAAUGUAUUUAGAUAAUGCAAACUAGCUAAUGCAGGGCUCUGCAUGAGAAAGAUGAAAAAGAUCAACGCAUGACACGGACUAAGUUCUUCCUAAUUGCACUAAUUUGCGGUUUGUCCUGGUAUGUAGUUCCAGGAUAUCUAUUCACAACACCUACAAGCAUUUCAUGGGUCUGCCUGUGCCGAGUGUUUUCAAAGUCCGUAACAGCACUGCAAAUGGCCUUGGACUUGGGGCAUAACACUUGACUGGUCUGCUGC
Molecule: unclassified non-coding RNA, 1055 nt
Filed under: Hevea brasiliensis (rubber tree)
Lineage: Eukaryota; Viridiplantae; Streptophyta; Magnoliopsida; Malpighiales; Euphorbiaceae
Source: RNAcentral